RNAcentral lists this transfer RNA (73 nucleotides) under Lentisphaera araneosa HTCC2155. It matches the Rfam family "tRNA". From Rfam's summary of the family: Transfer RNA (tRNA) molecules are approximately 80 nucleotides in length. Their secondary structure includes four short double-helical elements and three loops (D, anti-codon, and T loops). RNAcentral also lists the same sequence under 1 other name. The record is from Rfam by way of RNAcentral. Lineage: Bacteria; Pseudomonadati; Lentisphaerota; Lentisphaeria; Lentisphaerales; Lentisphaeraceae.
GGUGGAAUAGCUCAGUUGGUAGAGCAACGGAAUCAUAAUCCGUCUGUCGUGGGUUCAAGUCCCUCUUCCACUA